RNAcentral lists this ribosomal RNA (407 nucleotides) under uncultured bacterium. RNAcentral's name for it is "bacterial SSU rRNA". It matches the Rfam family "Bacterial small subunit ribosomal RNA", at positions 29 to 415 of the family's 1533-position model. The record is from RNAcentral.
AACGAACGCUGGCGGCGUGGCUAAGGCAUGCAAGUCGAACGGUACGGUGUAGCAAUAUGCCGUAUAGUGGCGGACGGGUGAGUAAUACAUGGAUAACGUACCUUGGAUUCAGGGAUAACAGCGUCCCAACUUCGGUUGGGGCUUUGCGAAAGUGCUGCUAAUACCUGAUAACCCCGCGGAACCGCAUGGUUCUGCGGGCAAAGUUCCGCGAUCCGAGAUCGGUCCAUGUCCUACAGCUAGUUGGCAGGGUAACGGCCUACCAAGGCUUUGACGGGUAUCGGGUAUGAGAGUACGACCCGACACAUCGGAACUGAGACACUGUCCGGACACCUACGGGUGGCUGCAGCAACGAAUUUUCCGCAAUGGGGGCAACCCUGACGGAGCGACGCCGCGUGCAGGAUGAAGUC